RNAcentral lists this ribosomal RNA (301 nucleotides) under uncultured bacterium. RNAcentral's name for it is "partial 16S ribosomal RNA". It matches the Rfam family "Bacterial small subunit ribosomal RNA", at positions 509 to 807 of the family's 1533-position model. The record is from RNAcentral.
CAGUAGCCGCGGUAAUACAGAGGGUGCGAGCGUUAAUCGGAUUUACUGGGCGUAAAGCGUGCGUAGGCGGCUUUUUAAGUCGGAUGUGAAAUCCCUGAGCUUAACUUAGGAAUUGCAUUCGAUACUGGGAAGCUAGAGUAUGGGAGAGGAUGGUAGAAUUCCAGGUGUAGCGGUGAAAUGCGUAGAGAUCUGGAGGAAUACCGAUGGCGAAGGCAGCCAUCUGGCCUAAUACUGACGUUGAGGUACGAAAGCAUGGGGAGCAAACAGGAUUAGAUACCCCUGUAGUCCCUGUCUCUUAUAC